GGAGGAGGAGGGGGAGGAGGAGGAGCGUCUAAACGAGGAGCGAUUAGAAGCUAGACGCUUCGGCCUAUGGUUUCAAGAGCUGAUGGAGUGUGAUUCAGGGUACUCGUCAGCUGACUCGUCAGCUGUCUCGUUAUUGGCGUACCGCGAUUAGUACGAGAUAUACAAAAGGGCGGGGG
This 176-nucleotide long non-coding RNA is filed under the name Venturia canescens. Its description in RNAcentral is "uncharacterized LOC122411885". The record is from RNAcentral. Lineage: Eukaryota; Metazoa; Arthropoda; Insecta; Hymenoptera; Ichneumonidae.